CCCAAGCUGAGUGGCAGACACUGAGAUGAGUGUGCAGGUAGUAAAACUGUUCUACUGAGUAAUGUUAAUCACACUAAGGCAUAACUAUAAGUUGUGUGUGAUGUACGUUGCUAUACACCAGAAAGUACAAGUAGCAUCUGAAACAAGGAAAUGGUCCUGGUUGUGCUCAAGGUAAACGAAAUAAAUGACAGUAUUUCCAAUUCAAGCAGUUGAUGAGUUACUACUCCAGGUCACAAGAGAGAUGAACUCUUACUUAAGGCAUAUUAGAGAAGCCACUCAUCCCAGGCAGUUGUCUUCCCUCAGUAGCAAAGUUUUUAAAAUUGUCUUAGUUGUUUCCCACAGCCCUGCUUGCAAAGGUGCAAAAGAAAUGCCUACUUUAGUUUUUGCAAAUAUCCUAUUGCAGUAUAAACCUGUCAUUAAUGUCAUUAUCUUGAUUUAUCCUGCUUGGAAAGGGAAUAAAGUAAAAUCCCUGCUUACUGAUUUGUGUAGCAUAUAGUAAUUAGACAUCUUUAGAGGGGCUCUUUUGAAAUAUAUCUGAGUUUGGGAAGAAAAAUACGAAGCAAAGGAAUGGAGUUUGUAGUAUUCAUGGACUCACUCCAUAAGAAUAUGCAAGCCCAGUGCCAAAUGCCUCCACCCAAAUACCCGAGACGUUACUAAUUUGAUAAGAGUCCUUUUCCUGUUUUUUACUAGCCUGUGCAGUUUCUCAAGCUAUCUGUGCUCCUUUCCCACGAAGAGCAAUUUUAGUGGCACAGAACAUGUCUGCAAAGCAAAAUGAAGGUGUAGUUGCAGCACAGACAGGGUAUGCCUGAAGAUUCACACAGAAAACCUGGAACCACAUUUUUCCUCCUGCUGCUGUACCUGUCCAAGCAAAUGUGCCUGUUGUCUUUCCUCCUGACCUGUAGACACCUGCUGUGGAGGCGGCACUUGGUGCUGGCACUUGGGGAUGGCUGAAUGCAGUUGCCUGGCCCACUUCUCCCACCAGUGUUUUACACCUUCCAUGGCUCUUACUUUGUUUUGAAACAACAUGCUCGGGUCUGAAAAGAUACAACUGGAAAGUGAAACUCUCUGAUGUGGUGCUCCUGGCUCUCUGAGUGGUGAUGCACACCAUCAUUUCCCAUGGUGUCUUGAACCUCUGCCCAGUAAGUGAGAGAAAAGCUGGAGAGGGUAAAAAGGUUGCACUCAGCAAUUGAAUUCUAAUGAUAAAUGUGAGUACAUUCUCAGGCACAAAAUUGUUCCGUCCUCUCUGUGCUGUUUUGUACCAGAAGGGAAUGUUACCUGGAGAAUAACUUCAGGAAAAACAGAAAAAGAAAAAACAAAACUGCAUGUUUUCUUUCCUUUGGAGGGAGAGUGUAUGUGUAGUGGUUUUCUCUUUUUUACACUGAUGUAUUUCACAAAUGUUCCUUCGCUACAUACUUUCAGCUGGUGAAAAUUAUUUUUCCUCUGGGUCCAAAAAAGUUUCAAGUAGACCCUGAAUUAAAACUAUGAGAAAGUCACCACUGCAAAACUGGAAUUUUAAAACCAAUGUUUUUGCAAAGAAGAAAAAUAAGUGUGUGUGCCCUUUGGCUGAUCUGUAACCUCAGCAUGGUCCUGUCAGCAUUCCUUUUUUUUUUUAACAUGCAAAAUAUUUUCCAAACUCCCAUCCUGUUUUUUUAGGAACUGUGUCAGACUGCAUGCAGCUUCUGAAACUAAGGCAGUAACAGUGUGGCACUAUAAAACUUACAUAUUCUAUUUCAUUGAAAGUAUGUAAUGCCCAGAUGGUACAUCCUGAGUACACAGGAAAAUGAAGUAAAUUAAACAGAGCUGAUGAGAAAUGUGUUGGUCUCACGGUCUCAAGACCUGCUGCUUUUAAUCCUGCUCUUUCCCUUGGUUCUCUGGUAAGACACUUUACACGCUUAAAGAUUUGUUCCCGACUAAUGUUUCUCAGCUGACCCUAUGGAAAAGACCCGAACCAACCCAAACAACGUGGGGAAGAUGUAAAUGUUCAACUCGAGCUGUGACUAUGGCCUGGUUUCUGUACCUGCAGGGGGAUUGUGCCUGGGUUUAUGGCUGGCUCUGGCUGCCCUAGCACAGAGUGCUCAGGUGCAGAUGGGCAGUGCAGCUCUGUCACUGCAGUGCUGCACACACUGAGAUCAGGCAGCUCUCACCUCACUUGACAAAUAACAGUACUCUGAGGACUGCUAGACUCACCAAGACCAAGCAAAAAAAUGUAUGAGGGCGAGGAGACUGUAAUAACCGAGUUCAGUGACUCUGUGACAACCAAGGAAGUUCCCACAGCAGUGGAGCCACUCCCUUUGCUGGCAACUGGUUAAAUGGGUGAGAGUUUUUACUGCCAUCUACUGUGCAAAUGCUUCAAGCCAGAGAGAAAUAAAAAUUCUGUCUCUUGGUUCUCAAAUAAAUGAAAUGGCUUCUGAAAAGAGAGAAAAAGCAGAGCUUGACUUCUGUCUACAUCUAAUAUUCUCUUUAUUUAUCUUCUUUUCUAAUUCAGAAAUAAUUUGGGUUUUUUAUUUCCUUCCUGUGCUGAUAGUAGAAACAUCAGGUUUGAUCAAGGUAAUUGUUAUCCCUUCACUCUUUGCAUUUUCCAUCAACAUGAAUUUUCCACAUAUCUAUGUAUACAUAGAUAAUAUUUUUAAUUGCUGUUUUCCUAUUUUUCUUCAUUUUAUCUAGUACAAAUACAAAUUACAGUCCUUUUUGACAACUUUAGCUCUUCCCUGGUAAUUAUAUUCCAUUAGAUUCAACACUUUUAGAUCCAGAAAUCUUUACAGAGGUUAGUCUUUAAUUAUUGGAAUCCAGUUGGAAUAAUGGGAAUCCAUUGGAUUAAUGGACCAUUUAAUUGUUUCACAAUAAAUCCAAAAAAGAAAAUGAAGGCGCUUCCUUACACUACUACUUUCUUCAUUUUUCAGAGCUCUUUCCUACACAUUCAUCCUACAAGCUUCAGUCUGGGUCUGUGGCAGUUACAAAUGGUAUUUAAUCAUAUGAAAGAGCAGAGAUGGGCUCGUGAUUUCAGGUCAGAGCUGCCCUUUAUCAGGGGAAUACUAAUGCUAAGCACUUGUUUUCUAUCUUUCAAACCUGACAUGUUCUUUAUUAAAAACAUUACCCAUUUUUUCAAUGGAAGGGUUACAUUUAGGGGAGUGCCACUGCAGAGUUUGUCAGUGAACUAGAAAAGCGAAUGAGAUCAUCACAGCAAGAAAUAAUGUGAUCAAAGCCCAGACCUACAAGCAGGAACAGCCAUAAUAACAUGUUAUUAUUGCUGGGACAUCAGAAUCCACAAAAGCAUUUGCAGAAUUGGAGGAGGACUGACAGAAACAAUGACGUUGUUUUCAAAAUUCCUGAUUUCUUUUUUUGGCCCAAGAGUUAUGUUUUAGGAAAUGUUGAUGAAGCCUCACAGUUUGCAAAUGCCAGAUGUUUCCACAAACUGGUGACCACCUGCGGCAGAGUACCUUUUGCUGGUGGGCUACAGCACUGCAGAACAGCACAAAAGCUGCUGCCCACCUUCCUGUGGUUCCCCAGCUCACAUCGUCACAGUGCCAUGAAAAAGCCAGUGAAUGCUGGGGCAUAAAACCGAAGAGCAAGAUAGCUGGGAAGAUACACCAGCACUUUGUUUGAAGAUCUUGUGUUAUUGAGCAUUUGGUGUUUGUCUUAGAGGCUCUAAAACCUUAAGGGAUUCUUGAUGGUGAGACUCCAGAACUGGGCCCAAAUGGAGGAGACUGAGCACAGCCCUGCCUUGCUGAGACACCCACUGUCUCAUCUGAUAUCAUCACUUUAUCAUCAUGAUAAAGACCUAUUCUUUAUCAUCUCAAUAAGGCAUAUCUCAACACAAAUCCAGCAAGUAUAGCCUGGCAAGGAGGCAGAGCAGGAGAAAAAUCAGCUGCUUUAGUACUAACCCAACCAUGUGGAGAUUUGUCCAUCAUGCCAGAGGGGUCUCCAGAUUGACUUUUCUGGUUAUGUUACAUAAAGAAGAUGGAUUACAGCUGAGACUCUGUGCCUGUACUUCUGAGUCACUGAUGGACAAGAAUGGAAGAAAAACUUUGUCUUUUUUUGUCAAAUUAGAAUUGGAUCAGCCUAGUGCUUGCUGUCCUCAUUUUCUAUUGCUACCAGUAGAAAAAGAGUAGAAAAUCCUCAAAACCUUGUAAGUCUGAUAGUUCAAUUCAAAGUUAGCAAACCCAGCAGUUUAGAGGAAGACAAAACAGAUACCAGCAGGCCAGGUUGUGCUACUGGACUUAGCACAAAGCUCUUCAUUAAGGCAAUCAGAGAAAAAUGGCAAGCUCUGUUUCUGGCCCAUUCAAAGUGUGAUGUCAAAGAGUGUUCAUGCUGAGCAGGUUAAUGUAGGAAUGCAGAGAAUCCUGCGGCAAAAUGCUUCCAGAGACAGUUUAACACCGAGAAAAUGAGUUGCAAAAAAGUAAAUACAUCAUCUUGUACCAGUCGGGUACUGUGAUAAGCAAUGGAGUUUUAUUGAGAAAGUACUAAUGAGCAAUAAAUGCCUGCAGUGAAAAGGGUAGCAUCUGGUCUGCAUUUGACUUCACACAUGAAAGCUAUUUGGCCUGACUUCCUGCCAAAUCCUGCUAUUUUUGAGAUCAUCAGGCACGAAGAGGAUUGAAAUCCCUAUGUUAGCAUCUCAAAGAAGUGAGCCACACUUGUAAGCAGAACUGGGGAGUCUGUCCUUCUAGAACUCUCUGGAUGCCAGCUGUGCCUUCCACACUUUCCUGGGCUGAAACCUGACACUACAGCUGGUGCUGCAAGAUUCAGCUACUGUAAGUAAUUCCUGUCAGACCUCAUUCAAAUAUGGUCAUCUUGCAGUUAAGAGGUUUUAUCUGGGUGUUAGCAUAGCUUGCUGUACUUCUGCCUGGCACAUGUUUAGCAGCAGGCUUUUUUCAUUUGAUUCUGCAAACAUUUGCUGCAGAGUGCAGAAUUAAGAAAUUAUUUUAUGGCUUCAACUA
This is a long non-coding RNA of Motacilla alba alba, 4934 nucleotides long. RefSeq lists it as uncharacterized. The transcript is spliced from 3 exons. The record is from RefSeq and is a predicted model, not a curated record. NCBI's taxonomy places the organism in Eukaryota, Metazoa, Chordata, Aves, Passeriformes, Motacillidae.